UGGGGAAUAUUGCACAAUGGGGGAAACCCUGAUGCAGCGACGCCGCGUGAGCGAUGAAGGCUUUCGAGUCGUAAAGCUCUGUCCUAUGGGAAGAUAAUGACGGUACCAUAGAAGAAAGCCCCGGCUAACUACGUGCCAGCAGCCGCGGUAAUACGUAGGUGGCAAGCGUUGUCCGGAUUUAUUGGGCGUAAAGGGGGCGCAGGCUGCUUCUUAAGUCUGAUGUGAAAGCCCACGGCUUAACCGUGGAAGUGCAUUGGAAACUGGGAAGCUUGAGUACAGAAGAGGAAAGUGGAACUCCAUGUGUAGCGAUGGAAUGCGUAGAUAUAUGGAAGAACACCAGUGGCGAAAGCGACUUUCUGGUCUGUCACUGACGCUGAGGCCCGAAAGCGUGGGUAGCAAACAGG
RNAcentral lists this ribosomal RNA (404 nucleotides) under Verrucomicrobiota bacterium. RNAcentral's name for it is "Verrucomicrobia bacterium partial 16S ribosomal RNA". It matches the Rfam family "Bacterial small subunit ribosomal RNA", at positions 355 to 776 of the family's 1533-position model. Lineage: Bacteria; Pseudomonadati; Verrucomicrobiota. The record is from RNAcentral.